This 301-nucleotide ribosomal RNA is filed under the name uncultured bacterium. Its description in RNAcentral is "partial 16S ribosomal RNA". It matches the Rfam family "Bacterial small subunit ribosomal RNA", at positions 509 to 807 of the family's 1533-position model. The record is from RNAcentral.
CAGUCGCCACGGUAAUACGAAGGGGGCUAGCGUUGUUCGGAAUUACUGGGCGUAAAGGGCGCGUAGGCGGCCGAUCAAGUCAGGCGUGAAAGCCCCGGGCUUAACCUGGGAACUGCGUUUGGGACUGGUUGGCUUGAGUUCGGGAGAGGAGAGUGGAAUUCCCAGUGUAGAGGUGAAAUUCGUAGAUAUUGGGAAGAACACCGGUGGCGAAGGCGGCUCUCUGGACCGAUACUGACGCUGAGGCGCGAAAGCGUGGGGAGCAAACAGGAUUAGAUACCCCGGUAGUCCCUGUCUCUUAUAC